RNAcentral lists this ribosomal RNA (440 nucleotides) under uncultured bacterium. Its description in RNAcentral is "partial 16S ribosomal RNA". It matches the Rfam family "Bacterial small subunit ribosomal RNA", at positions 338 to 795 of the family's 1533-position model. The record is from RNAcentral.
CCUACGGGAGGCAGCAGUGGGGGAUAUUGCACAAUGGGGGGAACCCUGAUGCAGCGACGCCGCGUGGGUGAAGAAGCGCCUCGGCGCGUAAAGCCCUGUCAGCAGGGAAGAAAAUGACGGUAUCUGAAGAAGAAGCACCGGCUAACUACGUGCCAGCAGCCGCGGUAAUACGUAGGGGGCAAGCGUUACCCGGAUUUACUGGGCGUAAAGGGGGCGCAGGCGGGGUUGCAAGCCAGGAGUGAAAGCCCGUGGCCGAACUCCGGGACUGCACUUGGAACUGCGUGGCUGGAGUGCAGGAGAGGCAGGCGGAAUUCUUGGUGUAGGGGUGAAAUGCGUAGAUAUCAGGAGGAACACCGGUGGCGAAGGCGGCCUACUGGACUGCAACUGACGUUGAGGCCCGAAAGCGUGGGGAGCAAACAGGAUUAGAUACCCGGGUAGUC